AGUGAACGCUGGCGGUAGGCCUAACACAUGCGAGUCGAACGGCAGCACAGUAAGAGCUUGCUCUUACGGGUGGCGAGUGGCGGACGGGUGAGGAAUACAUCGGAAUCUACUUUUUCGUGGGGGAUAACGUAGGGAAACUUACGCUAAUACCGCAUACGACCUACGGGUGAAAGCAGGGGAUCUUCGGACCUUGCGCGAUUGAAUGAGCCGAUGUCGGAUUAGCUAGUUGGCGGGGUAAAGGCCCACCAAGGCGACGAUCCGUAGCUGGUCUGAGAGGAUGAUCAGCCACACUGGAACUGAGACACGGUCCAGACUCCUACGGGAGGCAGAAGUGGGGAAUAUUGGACAAUGGGCGCAAGCCUGAUCCAGCCAUACCGCGUGGGUGAAGAAGGCCUUCGGGUUGUAAAGCCCUUUUGUUGGGAAAGAAAAGCAGCAGGUUAAUACCCCGCUGUUCUGACGGUACCCAAAGAAUAAGCACCGGCUAACUUCGU
This 491-nucleotide ribosomal RNA is filed under the name uncultured bacterium. Its description in RNAcentral is "partial 16S ribosomal RNA". It matches the Rfam family "Bacterial small subunit ribosomal RNA", at positions 29 to 506 of the family's 1533-position model. The record is from RNAcentral.